RNAcentral lists this ribosomal RNA (305 nucleotides) under uncultured bacterium. Its description in RNAcentral is "bacterial SSU rRNA". It matches the Rfam family "Bacterial small subunit ribosomal RNA", at positions 334 to 655 of the family's 1533-position model. The record is from RNAcentral.
UUAGCCUACGGGGGGCAGCAGUGGGGAAUAUUGCACAAUGGGGGAAACCCUGAUGCAGCGACGCCGCGUGAGCGAAGAAGUAUUUCGGUAUGUAAAGCUCUAUCAGCAGGGAAGAAAAAUGACGGUACCUGAGUAAGAAGCACCGGCUAAAUACGUGCCAGCAGCCGCGGUAAUACGUAUGGUGCAAGCGUUAUCCGGAUUUACUGGGUGUAAAGGGUGCGUAGGUGGCAGGGAAAGUCAGAUGUGAAAGCCCGGGGCCCAACCCCGGUACUGCAUUUGAAACUGUCCGGCUGGCGUGCAGGAGG